UGGGUAAAAGUGCAUUUGAGUCA
Molecule: non-coding RNA, 23 nt
Filed under: Arabidopsis thaliana (thale cress)
Lineage: Eukaryota; Viridiplantae; Streptophyta; Magnoliopsida; Brassicales; Brassicaceae
Source: RNAcentral